AACGAGCGAGAGAGAGCUUGCUUUCUCGAGCGAGUGGCGAACGGGUGAGUAACGCGUGAGGAACCUGCCUCAAAGAGGGGGACAACAGUUGGAAACGACUGCUAAUACCGCAUAAGCCCACGGGUCGGCAUCGACCAGAGGGAAAAGGAGCAAUCCGCUUUGAGAUGGCCUCGCGUCCGAUUAGCUAGUUGGUGAGGUAACGGCCCACCAAGGCAACGAUCGGUAGCCGGACUGAGAGGUUGAACGGCCACAUUGGGACUGAGACACGGCCCAGACUCCUACGGGAGGCAGCAGUGGGGAAUAUUGCACAAUGGGGGAAACCCUGAUGCAGCGACGCCGCGUGGAGGAAGAAGGUCUUCGGAUUGUAAACUCCUGUUGUUGAGGAAGAUAAUGACGGUACUCAACAAGGAAGUGACGGCUAACUACGUGCCGGCAGCCGCGGUAAAACGUAGGUCACAAGCGUUGUCCGGAAUUACUGGGUGUAAAGGGAGCGCAGGCGGGAAGACAAGUUGGAAGUGAAAUCCAUGGGCUCAACCCAUGAACUGCUUUCAAAACUGUUUUUCUUGGGUAGUGCAGAGGUAGGCGGAAUUCCCGGUGUAGCGGUGGAAUGCGUAGAUAUCGGGAGGAACACCAGUGGCGAAGGCGGCCUACUGGGCACCAACUGACGCUGAGGCUCGAAAGUGUGGGUAGCAAACAGGAUUAGAUACCCUGGUAGUCCACACCGUAAACGAUGAUUACUAGGUGUUGGAGGAUUGACCCCUUCAGUGCCGCAGUUAACACAAUAAGUAAUCCACCUGGGGAGUACGACCGCAAGGUUGA
RNAcentral lists this ribosomal RNA (819 nucleotides) under uncultured bacterium. RNAcentral's name for it is "bacterial SSU rRNA". It matches the Rfam family "Bacterial small subunit ribosomal RNA", at positions 65 to 897 of the family's 1533-position model. The record is from RNAcentral.